UCUAAUAUGGCAGAUAAGUGCACUAGAUUUAAGCUCUAUUCAUAAAGAAUACCUUUUAUUAGAA
RNAcentral lists this transfer RNA (64 nucleotides) under Ruidocollaris sinensis. Its description in RNAcentral is "tRNA-Leu". Lineage: Eukaryota; Metazoa; Arthropoda; Insecta; Orthoptera; Tettigoniidae. The record is from RNAcentral.